GUCAUUGUCAUUAGCGUCACAAAUUACAAAUUGAAAAGCUAACCUAUAAAACAGUUAUCAUACAAUUUAUAUUUAAAAGAAUUUACCUUUUUGAAAAAAUAAACCAUAAUUAAAAAAAUAGACCAUAUACAAUGAGCGUCUGUAACGUUGAAGUAAUCAAGCAAAUUGGGAAAUAUUAUAAUGUGCCGGUUGGCACCGUAUGUUACAAUACUGAUAAGGUACUCACCACAGUAUUAAACAAACAGAGCAUAGAAGGUUUUGCUACAAUAGUACUGAAGUUAGCUUCGAGCAGUGGAAUCAAACUGAAUCAAGAACAGAUGUUGCUUAGCUACCAGUGGCUAGAGCACAUAGCUAUGUAUGCCAACCAGGCUGCGGCUAACCCUGCCUUUGCUCAGGGGUUUUUAAAGGACAUAAAUAAAGCCUUGGAGAAGAAUACAUAUUUAACUGGACAGAGCCUAAAUGUGACUGAUGUUGCUGCAUAUUAUGUUUUAUACCCUCUUAUUGAGCGGCUCUCAAUCACAGAACGUGAAGGACUAAUGCAUCUGUGCCGAUGGACGAGGCACAUACAAGCACAGCCAAGAGUGUGCACAAACCAGGCUCCUCUAACUCUGAACACUCUGAAUCUCUCAAUAUUAGCACCUGCCGUACAUUAAAACCUCAUUAGCAAUUACAAGCAAAAAGUACCAAAACAAUAAAACCUUUAUUGACAAUCAAUUGCCAACAGUAAAAUUAAGACUGUGAAAGUAUUAGUGUUUUGAAAGCCUUCAUAAUGAUUGUUUUUAACAAGUUAAUUAUGUUAAUUAUUUGUAUUGCUAAUUAUUUGUUCUUGAUUAGUUGUGCAACAACUGACCGACUACCUAAGCUGCCUGCACCAAUACUGCCUCAUCAAUUGAAGAACACAAGUUUAGACAAACCCGUCUUGUUCUUCCCUCAGCCUCUUUCUCAUCCGGGAUACCCAGUGAUUCUUUAUUUGUGAACAGCCUAACAGAAUGCCUUGUGAAAGUUUUGCAAGUCAACUUUCUCGAUGCUCAAAAUAUUUUACUACUUAAUUACGUAGCAUUAAUUUUAGAACUGUUUAUUUAAUAAAGGCUGUCAUCGACACUUGGUCGUACAGUUAACGUUAUUAUCCGGAAAAAUGAAUGAAUGUGUUUUUUCAGCCGAGUUAUAAUUACUUAUCGAGAGCGUUAACUUACAAAAACUGGGAAUCAGCACUCACAAUUCUAAUAUACUUUUUUAAUGCAGA
RNA transcript from Helicoverpa zea (corn earworm), 1243 nucleotides. It is a transcript of the gene named eukaryotic translation elongation factor 1 epsilon-1, with no coding region annotated. The transcript is spliced from 5 exons. The record is from RefSeq and is a predicted model, not a curated record. Lineage: Eukaryota; Metazoa; Arthropoda; Insecta; Lepidoptera; Noctuidae.